CCUUCUAAUUACCAAUUUACCAUCACCUACAGGCUACAGCCAGAAAAAAAAACAGAGAGGCAAAGAUAAGCGACCAAAGUGAUAUAGAAACGCAGUCGCUAAUCCCUCAUUCUCUCUCUCAAAACUCUCUUCAUGAAAAUGAACUGGUCUUCGCCUACAAGUGUGUGCAGUUCAUUCAGUUCUUUAUCAUGGAGGAGCUCUUCCAUCUCUUCCGUUGAGCUAGGGUUUCAGUUUAACAAUUCCACUGGAUUUUCCGUUUCUUCUUCCCAUAGCAGAAAAUUCUCUCGAAGCAGAAAAUUCCACGUCUCUUGUUCUUCUUCUUCUCCCUCUUCUGAUCCACUUUUGGUUAAGGCUGCUAGAGGAGAACCUGUAAAUAGGCCUCCAGCAUGGAUGAUGCGUCAGGCAGGAAGGUAUAUGGCUGUUUACAGAAAGCUUGCAGAGAAAUACCCAUCCUUCAGAGAGAGAUCAGAGACAACUGAUCUCAUUGUGGAAAUUUCUUUGCAGCCCUGGGAAGCUUUUCAUCCAGAUGGUGUUAUUAUUUUCUCCGACAUACUCACACCUUUACCUGCAUUUGGUGUCCCAUUUGACAUAGAAGAAGUGAGGGGGCCAGUUAUUCAAACUCCAAUUCGUUCUGAAGAAGGGUUAAAUGCUUUACAUCCCAUUGAGCUGGAGAAACUCCACUUUGUAGGGGACUCUCUUAGAAUUUUGCGACGCGAGGUUGAUGGGCGUGCUGCAGUAUUGGGUUUUGUUGGAGCACCUUGGACUAUUGCUACAUAUAUAGUGGAAGGGGGUACAACUCGCACAUAUACUACCAUAAAGAGCAUGUGCCAUACAGCACCAAAUGUAUUAAGGACUCUUCUCACUCAUUUGACACAGGCAAUAGCUGAUUACAUUGUUUACCAAGUGGAAUCUGGGGCUCAUUGCAUACAAAUAUUUGAUUCCUGGGGUGGACAACUACCACCCAACAUGUGGGACUGUUGGUCAAAGCCAUAUAUUGAAGAGAUAGUUCGUAAAGUAAGGAAUAAGUGCCCGGAAACACCACUUGUUCUCUACAUUAAUGGAAAUGGUGGUCUUCUUGAGCGUAUGAAAGGAACUGGAGUUGAUGUGAUUGGGUUAGACUGGACUGUGGAUAUGGCAGAUGGAAGGAAGCAUUUGGGUAGCGGGAUCAGUGUACAGGGAAAUGUGGAUCCUGCUUAUUUGUUUUCACCUUUACCUGCAUUGACUGAUGAAAUACAACGGUUGGUGACAAAAUAAAUUUACUGACCAAACUUCUAUUACCACGAUAUUCAAUGUUGUUGCCUACUUGGAGCUACACUUGAAUCAAGUUGUGGCAUGUGCUGGGCCAAGAGGACAUAUUCUUAAUCUUGGACAUGGUGUUCUUGUUGGUACUCCUGAAGAAGCUGUUGCUCAUUUCUUUAAUGUUGCAAGGAGCUUGAACUUUGAAGCUCCUUUUCAAAAUCAUGUGGCUGGAGAACCAGAAUUGGUUGUUUGAGUGAUUUUAACAAUUUUGAAGUGUUAAUUGUGAGUUGAUGCCUUAUUCAUCAUUGUGACUGCUUACGAGUGAGUUGAGAUUGCACAAUUUUGAGGCACUGAUUGGAGCUUUGAGGUCCUGUAUAUGUGUGUGCUCUGGGUAACUUGUUACCAUCAAUUGUAUUUGUAAUUAAAAUAUUCAAUAUGAGCCAACAAAUCUCUCAUUGAUUGUGGUAGAUAUAUGUUAGAUGAGCAUGUAUGUAUUCUUACCUUUCUAUUGGACCUAGAUAUUCUGAAAAGGUUCUUCCUCAGUUUAUUUUAACAGAUGGAUAACUGAAUUUCUAAAAUAGAUGACUCAGUUAUAUUUA
This is an RNA transcript of Jatropha curcas, 1838 nucleotides long. It is a transcript of the gene named Uroporphyrinogen decarboxylase, with no coding region annotated. NCBI's taxonomy places the organism in Eukaryota, Viridiplantae, Streptophyta, Magnoliopsida, Malpighiales, Euphorbiaceae. The record is from RefSeq and is a predicted model, not a curated record.